GAUGAACGCUGGCGGCGUGCCUAAUACAUGCAAGUCGAGCGAACGGACGAGAAGCUUGCUUCUCUGAUGUUAGCGGCGGACGGGUGAGUAACACGUGGAUACCCUACCUAAAAGACGGGGUUAACUCGGGGAAACCGUAGCUAAUACCGGUUAAUAUUUUGAACCGCAGGGUUCAAAAGUAAAAGACGGUCUUGCUGUAACUAUAAGAUGGAUCCGCGAUGCAUUAGCUAGUUGGUAAGGUAACGGCUUACCAAGGAAACGAUGCAAAGCCGACCUGAGAGGGUGAUCGGCCACACUUGAACUGAGACACGGUCCAGACUCCUACGGGAGGCAGCAGUAGGGAAUCUUCCGCAAUGGGCGAAAGCCUGACGGAGCAACGCCGCGUGAGUGAUGAAGUUCUUCGGAUCGUAAAACUCUGUUAUUAGGGAAGAACAUAUGUGUAAGUAACUGUGCACAUCUUGACGGUACCUAAUCAGAAAGCCACGGCUAACUACGUG
RNAcentral lists this ribosomal RNA (497 nucleotides) under uncultured bacterium. RNAcentral's name for it is "partial 16S ribosomal RNA". It matches the Rfam family "Bacterial small subunit ribosomal RNA", at positions 28 to 507 of the family's 1533-position model. The record is from RNAcentral.